RNAcentral lists this ribosomal RNA (428 nucleotides) under uncultured bacterium. Its description in RNAcentral is "partial 16S ribosomal RNA". It matches the Rfam family "Bacterial small subunit ribosomal RNA", at positions 354 to 796 of the family's 1533-position model. The record is from RNAcentral.
GUGGGGAAUAUUGGGCAAUGGGGGAAACCCUGACCCAGCAACGCCGCGUGAAGGACGAAGGCCUUCGGGUUGUAAACUUCUUUGAUCAGGGACGAAACAAAUGACGGUACCUGAGGAACAAGCCACGGCUAACUACGUGCCAGCAGCCGCGGUAAUACGUAGGUGGCAAGCGUUAUCCGGAUUUACUGGGUGUAAAGGGCGUGUAGGCGGUCUUGCAAGUCGGAAGUGAAAUUCCCGGGCUUAACCCGGGCGCUGCUCCCGAAACUGCGAGACUUGAGUACUGGAGAGGAUAGUGGAAUUCCUAGUGUAGCGGUAAAAUGCGUAGAUAUUAGGAGGAACACCAGUGGCGAAGGCGGCUUUCUGGACUGUAACUGACGCUGAAGCACGAAAGCGUGGGGAGCAAACAGGAUUAGAUACCCCGGUAGUCC